This 202-nucleotide unclassified non-coding RNA is filed under the name Hevea brasiliensis (rubber tree). The record is from RNAcentral. Lineage: Eukaryota; Viridiplantae; Streptophyta; Magnoliopsida; Malpighiales; Euphorbiaceae.
GGAGGGUGGGAGGAUGGGAGUAUCAUCAAUUAUGAGAAUAAAAAAGUUCUCUCUCUCAUUUGACAGCUAUUUUAUGGCUUCACUAGCAGAAUAUGCUGAAAAAAUUGAACAGAUAGACCUAUGUAUUAACAGAAUCAAUAUUCAGGGAUCUUUUAACUUGGUUUCCAAAAUACAGGGACCUAGUCCUUAAAGGAUGAAAUUG